AGAACGAACGCUGGCGGCAGGCCUCAAACAUGCAAGUCUAGGGGGUGUAGCAAUACAUCACCGGCGGACGGGUGCGUAACACGUGGGAAUAUACCUUUUGGUUCGGAACAACGCAGGGAAACUUGCGCUAAUACCGAAUGUGCCCUUACGGGGAAAGAUUUAUCGCCAAAGGAUUAGCCCGCGUAGGAUUAGCUAGUUGGUGAGGUAAUGGCUCACCAAGGCUCCGAUCCUUAGCUGUUCUGAGAGGAAGAUCAGCCACACUGGGACUGAGACACGGCCCAGACUCCUACGGGAGGCAGCAGUUGGGAAUCUUGGACAAUGGGGGAAACCCUGAUCCAGCCAUGCCGCGUGAGUGAUGAAGGCCUUGGGUUGUAAACUCUUUCGACGGGGACGAUAAUGACGGUACCCGUAGAAGAAGCUCCGGCUAACUUCGCGCCAGCAGCCGC
RNAcentral lists this ribosomal RNA (446 nucleotides) under uncultured bacterium. RNAcentral describes it as "SSU rRNA". It matches the Rfam family "Bacterial small subunit ribosomal RNA", at positions 26 to 518 of the family's 1533-position model. The record is from RNAcentral.